RNAcentral lists this transfer RNA (78 nucleotides) under Candidatus Peribacteria bacterium RIFCSPHIGHO2_01_FULL_51_35. Its description in RNAcentral is "tRNA-Ile". It matches the Rfam family "tRNA". Rfam says of the family: Transfer RNA (tRNA) molecules are approximately 80 nucleotides in length. Their secondary structure includes four short double-helical elements and three loops (D, anti-codon, and T loops). The record is from RNAcentral. RNAcentral also lists the same sequence under 2 other names. Lineage: Bacteria; Candidatus Peregrinibacteriota; Candidatus Peribacteria.
GGGCCAGUAGCUCAGCCUGGUUAGAGCUCCGGACUUAUAAACCGGCGGUCGAUGGUUCAACUCCAUCCUGGCCCACCA